CGGCCCACCACCUUAUCCACCAAAGGCUUGAAUUGGGCCGCACAAAGCUUCUGGAUGCCCAAAGGCAAGCCCAGGUAGGUGCACGAAAAUUGAGCAAUCGGGCAUUGAAGCUCGCUGGCCACCAAAAGCCGCUGGGCCUCCGUGCAACGGAUAAGGUGGGCCACACUUUUCGCAAGAUUCGCCCUGAGACCCGACGCCUGACCGAAAUCCGCAAGGAGUGCGGGACAGGAUCUGAGCUCCCACUUGUCAGGCCGCAGGAAGACGACCACGUCAUCCACGAAGAUCGAAGUACGUCGCCACAUGCCACAGUCGGCUAGGAUGCCGUACUCCGAGGCAGGUCAACAACCUGUUCAACAGAUCCAUAGCCAAGAUGAACAACAUGGGGGAGAGCGGAUCCCCCUGACGAAGACCACAACGAUGGACAAUCUCCUCCCCGGGACGUCGUUCAUGAGCACCCUAGUAGAAGCCGUCCGGAGGAGGCCGCUAAUCCACGACAACCAACGAGAACCAAAGCCCAUCCGGGAGAGGACAUCAAGAAGGAAUGACCAGUGGAUAGAGUCGAAAGCCUUCGUGAUAUCAAGCUUUAAGAGGACCGCAGCUCUCCGCGCCACAUGAAGAAGCUUUGCAGAACCCUGGACGAGAGCAAAGUUGUCGUGCAGACAACGCCCAUGGAUGAAAGCACUUUGAUGGAACCCAAUCAAAUCCGGUAGUCUAGGGGCCAACCGGCAAGCCAAAACCUUGGCCAGGAGUUUUGCGAAGCUGUGGAUAAGGCUUAUGGGACGAAAGUCCUUCAACUCCCUCGCGUCAGGCUUCUUCAACAAUAAGGAGAUGAAAGCCCAAUUAACCUUGACGAGCCCACGUGAAUCAAGCCGGAACAACGAGUGGAAGUAGUCCAUGAGAUCGGCCUUGAUCACAGGCCAACAGGUGGCAUAGAAUCUGCCAGUGAAGCCAUUCGGGCCGGGCACUUGUCCAUGGGGAGCUUCUGGAUAACCUUCCACACUUCCUCCCGAAAGAAGUCCAUGUCGAGCUCCAACAAGUCAUGCGUCACCACCCCGAGGAACUCAAGGUCGCGGGCGCGCGAACUGGCUGCUGAAGGGAGACCGUAAUACGUCAUACUUUCAUAAUUCCACGACGGCGCCCAAGAAACGAAAUCAGAUCAAAAGGCUUCUAGAUGACACGGGCGUUUGGAAGGAAGACCCGGGUACUGAAGUUUUGGAGAAAGUUCAGAGCAGAGUCUCGGAUGCUAUGAACGAGGGUUUCACAGCUCCUUAUACGGCUGAGGAAGUCAAGAAAGGUUUGUUCGAUAUUGGCGACUUAAAGCACCUGUACCAGAUGGUCUCCAUGCCAUCUUCUUCAAGCGAUAUUGGCCGAUGCUUGGUGAUGACCUUGUUCCCGAAGUCCUUGCUGCUGUUAAUUCCGGGUGCAUCCCGCCGUGUUGGAAUGAUACCGUCAUCGUUCUUAUUCCGAAGACAUCCUCGCCGGAGAAGAUUACACAGUUUAGGCCCAUCAGCUUAUGUAACAUGGUCUAUAAAAUUAUUUCAAAGAUGCUCGCUGCCCGGCUUAAAGUCUUCCUACCUGACAUCA
Molecule: long non-coding RNA, 1584 nt
Organism: Brachypodium distachyon (stiff brome)
Lineage: Eukaryota; Viridiplantae; Streptophyta; Magnoliopsida; Poales; Poaceae
Exons: 2
Source: RefSeq, a predicted model, not a curated record